AUCGUGUCGGUGGAUCAUUCGGUUCAUAGGUCGAUGAAGAGCGCAGCUAAAUGCGAUAAGU
RNAcentral lists this ribosomal RNA (61 nucleotides) under Strongyloides stercoralis. RNAcentral's name for it is "partial 5.8S ribosomal RNA". It matches the Rfam family "5.8S ribosomal RNA", at positions 1 to 63 of the family's 154-position model. From Rfam's summary of the family: 5.8S ribosomal RNA (5.8S rRNA) is a component of the large subunit of the eukaryotic ribosome. It is transcribed by RNA polymerase I as part of the 45S precursor that also contains 18S and 28S rRNA. The record is from RNAcentral. Lineage: Eukaryota; Metazoa; Nematoda; Chromadorea; Rhabditida; Strongyloididae.